Molecule: long non-coding RNA, 241 nt
Filed under: Sorghum bicolor (sorghum)
Lineage: Eukaryota; Viridiplantae; Streptophyta; Magnoliopsida; Poales; Poaceae
Description: long non-coding RNA (SBIC_LNC000257)
Source: RNAcentral
AACUACUGCACUUAAGAGCUCGCGUCCCAUGGCCAUUGUCAUUCUUGCACGGUUGUGGCAACCUAACUGCACACCAAUCUAGUCUAGGCCAAGAGUGCCUCUAGCACAAAAACUAGGUUUGAAUACUGAAUUUGAACAAAGUACAAUUCUAAAACUUUUCGUUCUACAAUGGAAGUCAUUUUACUUUUAUCUCAAAUCAAAUAUUAUUUUUAUCUUUGAUUAAAUUAUAGAUAAAUACACA